Molecule: ribosomal RNA, 406 nt
Filed under: uncultured bacterium
Lineage: Bacteria
Description: partial 16S ribosomal RNA
Rfam family: Bacterial small subunit ribosomal RNA
Source: RNAcentral
AUUGAACGCUGGCGGCAGGCCUAACACAUGCAAGUCGAGCGAGCGGCGGACGGGUGCGUAAUGUCUGGGAAACUGCCUGCUGGAGGGGGAUAACUACUGGAAACGGUAGCUAAUACCGCAUACCAUCAGAUGUGCCCAGUUGGGAUUAGCUAGUAGGUGGGGUAACGGCUCACCAAGGCGCCGAUCCCUAGCUGGUCUGAGAGGAUGACCAGCCACACUGGAACUGAGACACGGUCCAGACUCCUACGGGAGGCAGCAGUGGGGAAUAUUGCACAAUGGGCGCAAGCCUUAUGCAGCCAUGCCGCGUGUGUGAAGAAGGCCUUCGGGUGGUAAAGCACGUUCAGCGGGGAGGCGUUACCCGCAGAAGAAGCACCGGCUAACUCCGUGCCAGCAGCCGCGGUAAUAC